RNAcentral lists this ribosomal RNA (477 nucleotides) under uncultured bacterium. RNAcentral describes it as "bacterial SSU rRNA". It matches the Rfam family "Bacterial small subunit ribosomal RNA", at positions 29 to 505 of the family's 1533-position model. The record is from RNAcentral.
AAUAAACGUUGGCGGCGUGCUUAACACAUGCAAGUCGAGCGAGAAAGGCCUUCGGGCUGAGUACAGCGGCAAACGGGUGCGUAACACGUAGGAAUCUGCCUUUCAGUGAAGAAUACCCUCGAGAAAUCGAGGUUAAUGCUGCAUACGUCUCGCAAGAGAGAAAGAUGGCCUCUUUGCUGUCGCUGAAAGAUGAGCCUGCGGACUAUUAGUUAGUUGGUGGGGUAAUGGCCUACCAAGACGAUGAUGGUUAGCCGGCCUGAGAGGGUGUACGGCCACACUGGAACUUAGACACGGUCCAGACUCCUACGGGAGGCAGCAGUGAGGAAUAUUGCGCAAUGGGCGAAAGCCUGACGCAGCGACGCCGCGUGGAGGAUGAAGGUCUUAGGAUUGUAAACUUCUGUUAAGUGGGAAGAAAGAUGGAAUGUUAAUACCAUUCUGUGAUGACGGUACCACUAAAGAAAGCACCGGCUAACUUCG